ACCCUACGGGACGCAGCAGUGGGGAAUAUUGCACAAUGGGGGGAACCCUGAUGCAGCGACGCCGCGUGAGUGAAGAAGUAUUUCGGUAUGUAAAGCUCUAUCAGCAGGGAAGAAAAUGACGGUACCUGACUAAGAAGCCCCGGCUAACUACGUGCCAGCAGCCGCGGUAAUACGUAGGGGGCAAGCGUUAUCCGGAUUUACUGGGUGUAAAGGGAGCGUAGACGGCAGAGCAAGUCUGAAGUGAAAGCCCGCGGCCCA
RNAcentral lists this ribosomal RNA (258 nucleotides) under uncultured bacterium. RNAcentral describes it as "partial 16S ribosomal RNA". It matches the Rfam family "Bacterial small subunit ribosomal RNA", at positions 335 to 611 of the family's 1533-position model. The record is from RNAcentral.